CAGUAGCCACGGUAAUACAGAGGGUGCAAGCGUUAAUCGGAAUUACUGGGCGUAAAGCGCGCGUAGGUGGUUUGUUAAGUUGGAUGUGAAAUCCCCGGGCUCAACCUGGGAACUGCAUCCAAAACUGGCAAGCUAGAGUAUGGUAGAGGGUGGUGGAAUUUCCUGUGUAGCGGUGAAAUGCGUAGAUAUAGGAAGGAACACCAGUGGCGAAGGCGACCACCUGGACUGAUACUGACACUGAGGUGCGAAAGCGUGUGGAGCAAACAGGAUUAGAGACCCCAGUAGUCCCUGUCUCUUAUAA
Molecule: ribosomal RNA, 301 nt
Filed under: uncultured bacterium
Lineage: Bacteria
Description: partial 16S ribosomal RNA
Rfam family: Bacterial small subunit ribosomal RNA
Source: RNAcentral